UACGGAGGGGGCUAGCGUUGUUCGGAAUUACUGGGCGUAAAGCGCACGUAGGCGGUUACUCAAGUCAGAGGUGAAAGCCCGGAGCUUAACUCCGGAAUUGCCUUUGAAACUAGGUGACUUGAAUCCAGGAGAGGUGAGUGGAAUUCCGAGUGUAGAGGUGAAAUUCGUAGAUAUUCGGAAGAACACCAGUGGCGAAGGCGGCUCACUGGACUGGUAUUGACGCUGAGGUGCGAAAGCGUGGGGAGCAACAGG
Molecule: ribosomal RNA, 252 nt
Filed under: uncultured bacterium
Lineage: Bacteria
Description: partial 16S ribosomal RNA
Rfam family: Bacterial small subunit ribosomal RNA
Source: RNAcentral